AUAAGGCUGAGUCAUGCUAAAUGAGCAUGAGCUGUAGGGUAAUAAACUGAACCAUUACCAUGAAGUAGGAGCUCGCAGCUCGCAGCUUGUAAUAGUAAUAGAUUCAUAUACUCAGCUAAGCUACUGAGCGUAAGGAGCAAGGAAAAUUGGGUUAUAAAACCUACACCCCAGCCUUCUAUAUUGGGUUUUUCUUCAUUUCAAUACAAGUGUUCUAUAAAAGUCUAUCAAUUCUCAUGAACUGAGCUAACACUGUUAUUGGGAAAGGGACUAAAAACUGGAAUCUGAGAAAACAUUUAGCAAGGCAAUAGCAAGACAAGGAUUUGAAUCAAUCUGAGCAAGAAGAUUUAGCAAUCAAGAGGUAAUAUUUUAACUCUAUUAGAUAAAUUGGAUAAGUUUAUAAGUGAGUAAGUGAAUUAUGUAACUAUAGUCGGUACAAAGGAUUGUUGUGCUAUUUAUUUCAUAAGGAAUCUGGGCUGAAACAUGUUAAAAUUAGUCUGAGAAUUUAAAAUUCAACAUAUACCCACUUGUUGGUUGAUAAAUUGUGAAACAGAAGAAUUUUUCUAAAGGCAUGAAAUUUAUAGUUUUUGAUAAACAAAUUUAUAUCAUGGUAUUGAUCAUGGCCACUUGGCUAAGGUCUGAGCUCAUUUUAUUGUGUAAGCAUGAUACUUAAUAUAAUGAUUGAGAAUUGAGUCUGGGUUUUGCAGAUGGGAAAACUAGAACAGAGCUGAUUCGAAGUGGCGCAGCUGUGCCUUUUCCAAGGGCUGAGACCAGCGCAGCUGCGCCGGUCUGCACUCAUUUCAAGAUAUUUUCUUUAAGUGCUGAGUUAUAGAGCAUGUGUAUUAGUAUUUUAUAGGUUGUAAUAGGUGUCAUUCAUGGUGUUCAGCCUAAUCAUGAUAGACUUGACUUAGUGUAUCAUGAAUUUGAAUGAGUUUUAAAUGAAAAACUAAAAGAGUUUUGAAAAGGAAGCUUUUAGGCCUAACUUAGUUUACUAAUUCAAAGUCUUGGUAUAUGCAUAACAUGUUUGAAUAAACUUAGAUGGUGUCUAUCAUAGCAAAGAGUAAUUCUAGCUGAGCUUGGAUAGUCGUAAGAGUUUUCAAAAUGGAAAAACUAAAAUUUUUUGAUAAUAAAUUGGAAUGUAACUAGAAAGGGUUUUCCCCCGGUUUAAGGCCCUUAUAACAUGAGAUAGCAUGAAUAGGAAACCCAUAGAGAAAUGACCAGAGCAAAGAAAAGCUCAACUUGGACAUCAGCUAGAGUGGCACGGCUGCGCCACUUCUAGGCUAAUGGGCAGCGCAGCUGCGCCAUACUGAAUAAUUACCAAGACAAAUAUGAUAUUUAACUAAGGUUUGUAGCAUGCACAUAUGAUUAAGGCUGUAAACGAGCCAACACAGUUCGGGCUCGACUCGAAAAAAUACGAGCGAGAUUUGGAUUCGUUAAUAAUAAGAUUCAAAUCUGAGCAGUAAAAAUAGUUCGAAUAAAAAUAUGAGUAGAAUCUGAGCAAGGUUAUACUCAACUCGUUUAAGAUUCAAACUACUCGAAUUUUUUAUUGUGAUUCGAUACAUACUCGGUUAAUACAUAUUCGAUUAGAUAUUCGAUACAUUCUCUUAUAAUAUAUACAAAUUUAAAUCAAAUUAGGAUAAUUAGUUAUUAUUUUGUUUUGUUUUUAAUUUUAAUUGUGAUGACAUAUUUGUAAAGUGUAAUAAUAAAUAUAUUUUAUCAUUUUUAAGUAAAAUAACAAAUUGAAUUUAUAAUUAUAUUUAUUAUAAAAUUAGUUAUUAUGUGGAGACUCGAAUUCGAGCUUGAAUUUGAAGCUCGCGAGUAGUUUGAAUAAAUAUUCGAGUCGAGUCGGAUCGAAUUCGAGUACUAAAUAUUCGAGUCGAGUCGAAUCUGAGUAGAAUUUUUUAAAUAUAAUUCGAAUUCGAGUACAAAUUUAUCAUUUCGAGUCGAAUUUGAGUAGCUCUCUGUUCGCUCCGGUUCGACUCGUUUACACCCUUACAUAUGAUAUAAGUCUCUCAAAUAAUAAAUACAAGUAGUAAAUAAGGUUUUUACUUAACCUAGUAUGAAAUGGCUAUGUUAAGCAAAGUUUUCUAAAAAGAUUUGAAAGUGAAAGCAAGGGUUGGAUAACAAAUUUCUAAUAUCUAAUAAACAAUAUAGAAGCAAGACAAGCUAAGCUAGUAUUCUAAGCUUAUCAUAAACUAAUUUGCAUGGAUUGUAUAACUGAUGUGUAUAUGUUUGAUUAUAUGAUCAUGUAGGAUAUUCGAAGCACAUGUAGAUGUAGUUGUAAUCAACUCGCAAGGUAAGUCUUCUAGUUUCUAUUUGUUAUAUAAAUUUGAUAUGGAUUGUCUAUAAAUUAUGUUACAAUGAGCAUGUUAAAUUACAUAUAAUGUGUAUAUGAAUAUCGAAAGUCAAAUUAUGCUUAUAUGUGGUUGAGUUAUGGAACUCAAUUUGUGGUAUUUGAUGUAACAGGCAUUUGGAACUUAUAUUUAUCUUAAACUGAUAUUUAUCUUGAGCAUGAAAUCGUAUAACUGUUUUAAAUUGAGAUAAAUGUUGAGCAUGAAAUUUACGUGUUAUGUGCGACAUGAAAGCUAUUAGAUUUGUUGAGCUGUCGAGCUUAAUCUUGCAAAAAUAAACUUUCUGCAGGUUAACGAUACAAUGCCAUAAUAUUUGCUAUCUGGACAAUAUGGAUGAGAAGGCGUGCAAGAGAAACCUGAUUUCUUUAUUUUUGAAACUUAGAUGGUAUUAUGAUAAUGAUGUACAAGAAUACAAAUGUGUAAAUUUUUGAAAUAUUCAAUAAGAUGAGAAUG
Molecule: long non-coding RNA, 2801 nt
Filed under: Panax ginseng (ginseng)
Lineage: Eukaryota; Viridiplantae; Streptophyta; Magnoliopsida; Apiales; Araliaceae
Description: long non-coding RNA (PGIN_LNC001318)
Source: RNAcentral